CUUGCCAUUGGGAAUGAACUCAUUGCGUGGAAGGAUAAAGGUAUUUCUGAGAAGGAAGGUUUAUUAACUUUUCUGUCUUCUGUUUUUCGGUAAGUCAUGAGAUGGAAGUUUUUCAUGUUUAUAUGAUAAACUUCUCUAAACAUCUUAUUAAAGGAAAUGAAGAAAGUAAGAGGAUUUGGGCUUGAAGGCUUAAACAUCUCUAAACAUGGUUGCGCUUCCACUUCUGCAAAGCAUUCCCUCCUUCGCAUGCGCUUCUUCCUUUCGCGUCUUAUCUAGGUUUUGCCAGGUCCGAGGAAUAUGUAUUGCCAUCCCGACUGCUGACUGCCGCCUGCCCGCCUCGUUUCUAAACGAUAGGUGAGUUUUUUUUUUGUUUCUUUUGGUAGCUUGAAUUCAGUUUUAUUAAUUUUGUUUUUAGUUUUUAGAGAUUUAGUUAAGUUUGUCAUUCAAUUUGUGAGUUAAUUGCUGUUUUUUAUGCUUGAUUUGAGCUUGGAGGUUUCUCGCUAAACGCCGGCUUGCUGCUUGCUUAGAUAAUUGCUUAAUUUGUGUGUUAAUUGUUGUUAAUUACCGCUUAGUUGCUGCCUUGCAAUACUGGUAAUGGUAAUUGGUAUUAUCGUAGGAAUUUUACCAUUUGCAAUUGGGGUUCAAAGACAUAUUUAAAAAAGUGAAGGAUGAUGAGAAUGCGAAGGCUAUAUCUUUAUUCAGCAAUGUGGUAAAUCUCAAUGAUGCUAUUGAAGAUCCAGUGAAACGUUUAGAGCAUCUCGUUAGAGGAAUCUUUGCUGGAAAUAUAUUUGACCUUGGCUCUGCACAGCUUGCAGAGGUAUUCUCAAAGGAUGGGAUGUCCUUUCUGGCCAGUUGUCAGAACCUUGUCCCUCGACCCUCGGUUAUUGAUGACCUUGAGACUUUCAAAUUGCAGUGGAUAUAAGAAGUCCUGGCAAAAGGCUGUGAUUUUUGUUGAUAAUUCUGGUGCAGAUAUCAUCGUAGGAAUUUUACCAUUUGUAAGGGAAUUACUGCGUCGUGGUACACAGGUU
Molecule: long non-coding RNA, 1028 nt
Organism: Beta vulgaris subsp. vulgaris (sugar beet)
Lineage: Eukaryota; Viridiplantae; Streptophyta; Magnoliopsida; Caryophyllales; Amaranthaceae
Exons: 4
Source: RefSeq, a predicted model, not a curated record